UGCUCUGAACAUUGCCAAAGCAUUAGAUCACUGCAGCAGCGAAGGCCGCCCAUUGUACCAUGACUUAAAUGCAUAUAUGGUUCUCUUUGAUGAGAGUUGGCUUCAUUUCAGUCCAGUCUCUAAAUAGGUCCAAUAACUCACUAAAUAGGUAAGUCGAGAAGAAUUCAGCGUUGCAACUCCUUUUUUGGUAUGCUGUUUAAAUCUGUCUGUCAUUUUAUUCAUUCGUCAUGUUUAACUUUGUUCUGAAGGCUUCCUAUGGCUAACUUAAGCAUUUUAGUUAUUCAUUUUUUAAAGAUGUUAGCUAUUUUGGAACAGUUUGAAAGUUAAUGCAUGACUCGAGGAUGACUUUUA
Molecule: non-coding RNA, 351 nt
Organism: Malus domestica (apple)
Lineage: Eukaryota; Viridiplantae; Streptophyta; Magnoliopsida; Rosales; Rosaceae
Source: RefSeq, a predicted model, not a curated record